CACUGAUUGGGAGAACUUGGCCCUUGCACAGCAGUGCUAAACCUAGAAUUAUGUUAUCACAGAUCAUUUUCUUCUGACAUGCUUAGAGCUGCGUAGGGAAGGAGAAGGAAGACAGCCAUCAACAGUAGCCCCAGCCUGCUCACACUGGACCCCAGGAAAGCCAACAUUAGUGAUGUCCCGAACGGUUCGCCACGGACGGCGAACACAAACAUAAAUUUUGAC
This is a non-coding RNA of Pelobates cultripes (western spadefoot toad), 222 nucleotides long. The record is from the annotation of a GenBank genome assembly. NCBI's taxonomy places the organism in Eukaryota, Metazoa, Chordata, Amphibia, Anura, Pelobatidae.